AAAAAACCUGAGGAGAACUAGGCAGCUUUCUGAUCAGAGUUCAGAUAAAGAGGGCACAGUCAUUUUCGGGCACUGCCUAAAAUAAUCCAACGGGUUAGAGAGCUCCAGCAAAAGAAGCAAACUGACAAACUAAAAAAGAGCCAAACAAAGAUGAUGAGUUUUAUGAGAUUAUAAACGGCAAGGGGAGAAAACAGCACCCGAAUGGGAAGCUAACAUCCGAAAGUCAUUUUCUAAAACUUCAUUCAGCACAGGAACAAUGCAGCAUUCAGGCAUAAUGAGCUGAAAGUGCCCGGUGCGCCAGGUCAAGUCGGCAACCUCUGAGCUCCUCUCCAAGAGCCGUUUGCCAAGGUCAGGGAGUAUCUCAAAAAUAGUGUUCUGUGGAAUAAACCCUGUGAAGCUGUGGGUAAG
Zalophus californianus (California sea lion) is the source of this 408-nucleotide long non-coding RNA. RefSeq lists it as uncharacterized. The record is from RefSeq and is a predicted model, not a curated record. Lineage: Eukaryota; Metazoa; Chordata; Mammalia; Carnivora; Otariidae. The transcript is spliced from 3 exons.